CCUACGGGCGGCAGCAGUGGGGAAUAUUGGACAAUGGGGGCAACCCUGAUCCAGCCAUGCCGCGUGUGUGAAGAGGCCCUCGGGUUGUAAAGCACUUUCAGUGAGGAAGAACGCCUGGUGGUUAAUACCCAUCAGGAAAGACAUCACUCACAGAAGAAGCACCGGCUAACUCCGUGCCAGCAGCCGCGGUAAUACGGAGGGUGCGAGCGUUAAUCGGAAUUACUGGGCGUAAAGCGCGCGUAGGUGGCUUGAUAAGCCGGUUGUGAAAGCCCCGGGCUCAACCUGGGAACGGCAUCCGGAACUGUCAAGCUAGAGUGCAGGAGAGGAAGGUAGAAUUCCCGGUGUAGCGGUGAAAUGCGUAGAGAUCGGGAGGAAUACCAGUGGCGAAGGCGGCCUUCUGGACUGACACUGACACUGAGGUGCGAAAGCGUGGGUAGCAAACAGGAUUAGAUACCCUGGUAGUC
Molecule: ribosomal RNA, 464 nt
Filed under: Vreelandella stevensii
Lineage: Bacteria; Pseudomonadati; Pseudomonadota; Gammaproteobacteria; Oceanospirillales; Halomonadaceae
Description: partial 16S ribosomal RNA
Rfam family: Bacterial small subunit ribosomal RNA
Source: RNAcentral